RNAcentral lists this ribosomal RNA (484 nucleotides) under uncultured bacterium. Its description in RNAcentral is "bacterial SSU rRNA". It matches the Rfam family "Bacterial small subunit ribosomal RNA", at positions 8 to 481 of the family's 1533-position model. The record is from RNAcentral.
AGAGUUUGAUCCUGGCUCAGAGUGAACGCUGGCGGCAGGCCUAACACAUGCAAGUCGAACGGCAGCACAGCAGUAGCAAUACUGUGGGUGGCGAGUGGCGGACGGGUGAGGAAUGCGUCGGAAUCUGCCUAUUUGUGGGGGAUAACGUAGGGAAACUUACGCUAAUACCGCAUACGACCUACGGGUGAAAGUGGGGGACCUUCGGGCCUCACGCAGAUAGAUGAGCCGACGCCGGAUUAGCUAGUUGGCGGGGUAAAGGCCCACCAAGGCGACGAUCCGUAGCCGGUCUGAGAGGAUGAUCAGCCACACUGGGACUGAGACACGGCCCAGACUCCUACGGGAGGCAGCAGUGGGGAAUAUUGGACAAUGGGCGCAAGCCUGAUCCAGCCAUGCCGCGUGUGUGAAGAAGGCCUUCGGGUUGUAAAGCACUUUUGUCCGGAAAGAAAUCCUUUCGAUUAAUACUCGGGAGGGAUGACGGUACCGA